Long non-coding RNA from Ictalurus punctatus (channel catfish), 1021 nucleotides. The record is from Ensembl. NCBI's taxonomy places the organism in Eukaryota, Metazoa, Chordata, Actinopteri, Siluriformes, Ictaluridae.
CUUUACUCGUCUGUCAUUACUCACCUCAUCAAAUCCCAAAAACGCCUCCCUUACAUCACAGGCCACCUCACUUUUAGCCAAAUGACGUAAAAUGACAGAUCUGGGCUUUGUUUGUGACAUCCGUUGUCUCGUCUACUUCUACAGCAACAAAUAGGGUUGCAUUAAUCUCUGGAAUAAAGUUAGUUUGACGUUGGACGUUCGAUAUUCGCGGAUAUGCGGAAAUUUGGGGACCGUCUCUAAAGUUACACACGACAAUGUUAUACACGUUUCUAACUUCAAUAGCAUUUGAAGGGAAUGACUAACAGUCACAAAACCAGCUGGAAAGUGUUCAUCUAGGUGUCAGGUAUGGGAAACACCUUUUAGAUUUUUGAUAUUUAUCAAAACAAGCUAUUAAAUCAUAUGUAAAUUAGAUAUGAAUUUCACUACAGAAUGGGCCCAUACACAAAAUAUACCAUUAUUUAAAGCUCAGUAGUAUUUGAAGGGAAUGACUUACAGUCACAGAACCAACAAGAAGAGCAAUGGGCCAAGAGAUCACAAACUCAAAGAUGAGCAAAGCAUCGUUCAAAGUAUUUUCAUCCACCAGAAGCAAACAAAAGCAAACAUCUGAGGAUCAUUCAGAGGACACAUCAACCCAGUUUCAUUCAUGCAGCAUCCAGCCAGGUGUUUGUGGUAGACCCAGCAGGACAUGAUGAAGAAGCAAAAUCCAUGCAUGCAGCCACUACAUUUCAAGAAUACUUCAAGAUGAGAAGAAACUGUCUCAGUAAAUGUGACUGGGUGGACAUAAAAUGGAAUGGAGGACAAAUGAACCAUUCCACACAACAAGACUGGUACAGCUUUGGAGUGUUUGUCAGGCAGUAUUGAAGAGGGGACAUUGCUGCUCAUUAUGUGCUGCCUCAAAAUCCCUGGGUGGUGGUGCAAAAACAUCUUGGAUUGAAUGUCACUGCUGCAAGAGGUGGUUUCAUGUGGCAUGCCUUUCUAUGUCAGAGAACCAAUUCAAAAGGGCUCAAAAGGUUGACUGGAA